RNAcentral lists this ribosomal RNA (460 nucleotides) under uncultured bacterium. RNAcentral describes it as "partial 16S ribosomal RNA". It matches the Rfam family "Bacterial small subunit ribosomal RNA", at positions 338 to 795 of the family's 1533-position model. The record is from RNAcentral.
CCUACGGGAGGCAGCAGUGAGGAAUAUUAGUCAAUGGACGAAAGUCUGAACCAGCCAAGUAGCGUGAAGGAUGACUGCCCUAUGGGUUGUAAACUUCUUUUAUAUGGGAAUAAAAUGUACUAUGUGUAGUGUUUUGCAUGUACCAUAUGAAUAAGGAUCGGCUAACUCCGUGCCAGCAGCCGCGGUAAUACGGAGGAUCCGAGCGUUAUCCGGAUUUAUUGGGUUUAAAGGGAGCGUAGGUGGAUUGUUAAGUCAGUUGUGAAAGUUUGCGGCUCAACCGUAAAAUUGCAGUUGAUACUGGCAGCCUUGAGUACAGUAGAGGUAGGCGGAAUUCGUGGUGUAGCGGUGAAAUGCUUAGAUAUCACGAAGAACUCCGAUUGCGAAGGCAGCCUGCUGGACUGUAACUGACACUGAGGCUCGAAAGUGUGGGUAUCAAACAGGAUUAGAUACCCUGGUAGUC